This 2985-nucleotide ribosomal RNA is filed under the name Salmonella enterica subsp. enterica serovar Thompson. RNAcentral describes it as "23S ribosomal RNA". It matches the Rfam family "Bacterial large subunit ribosomal RNA". The record is from RNAcentral. Lineage: Bacteria; Pseudomonadati; Pseudomonadota; Gammaproteobacteria; Enterobacterales; Enterobacteriaceae.
GGUUAAGCGACUAAGCGUACACGGUGGAUGCCCUGGCAGUCAGAGGCGAUGAAGGGCGUGCUAAUCUGCGAUAAGCGCCGGUAAGGUGAUAUGAACCGUUAUAACCGGCGAUACCCGAAUGGGGAAACCCAGUGUGACUCGUCACACUAUCAUUAACUGAAUCCAUAGGUUAAUGAGGCGAACCGGGGGAACUGAAACAUCUAAGUACCCCGAGGAAAAGAAAUCAACCGAGAUUCCCCCAGUAGCGGCGAGCGAACGGGGAGGAGCCCAGAGCCUGAAUCAGCAUGUGUGUUAGUGGAAGCGUCUGGAAAGGCGCGCGAUACAGGGUGACAGCCCCGUACACAAAAGCGCAUGUGCUGUGAGCUCGAUGAGUAGGGCGGGACACGUGGUAUCCUGUCUGAAUAUGGGGGGACCAUCCUCCAAGGCUAAAUACUCCUGACUGACCGAUAGUGAACCAGUACCGUGAGGGAAAGGCGAAAAGAACCCCGGCGAGGGGAGUGAAAAAGAACCUGAAACCGUGUACGUACAAGCAGUGGGAGCACCCUUUGGGGUGUGACUGCGUACCUUUUGUAUAAUGGGUCAGCGACUUAUAUUCUGUAGCAAGGUUAACCGAAUAGGGGAGCCGGAGGGAAACCGAGUCUUAAUUGGGCGUUAAGUUGCAGGGUAUAGACCCGAAACCCGGUGAUCUAGCCAUGGGCAGGUUGAAGGUUGGGUAACACUAACUGGAGGACCGAACCGACUAAUGUUGAAAAAUUAGCGGAUGACCUGUGGCUGGGGGUGAAAGGCCAAUCAAACCGGGAGAUAGCUGGUUCUCCCCGAAAGCUAUUUAGGUAGCGCCUCGUGAAUUCAUCUCCGGGGGUAGAGCACUGUUUCGGCUAGGGGGCCAUCCCGGCUUACCAACCCGAUGCAAACUGCGAAUACCGGAGAAUGUUAUCACGGGAGACACACGGCGGGUGCUAACGUCCGUCGUGAAGAGGGAAACAACCCAGACCGCCAGCUAAGGUCCCAAAGUCAUGGUUAAGUGGGAAACGAUGUGGAAGGCCCAGACAGCCAGGAUGUUGGCUUAGAAGCAGCCAUCAUUUAAAGAAAGCGUAAUAGCUCACUGGUCGAGUCGGCCUGCGCGGAAGAUGUAACGGGGCUAAACCAUGCACCGAAGCUGCGGCAGCGAACGUAUCACUUAAAGCGAUUCAGCGGGUUACGAUUGACGGAGCGAAGCGACGUCAAAGCGUAUACAAAGUCGAGUCGGUUUAAGGAUACGUUCGUUGGGUAGGGGAGCGUUCUGUAAGCCUGUGAAGGUGGCCUGUGAGGGUUGCUGGAGGUAUCAGAAGUGCGAAUGCUGACAUAAGUAACGAUAAAGCGGGUGAAAAGCCCGCUCGCCGGAAGACCAAGGGUUCCUGUCCAACGUUAAUCGGGGCAGGGUGAGUCGACCCCUAAGGCGAGGCCGAAAGGCGUAGUCGAUGGGAAACAGGUUAAUAUUCCCGUACUUGGUGUUACUGCGAAGGGGGGACGGAGAAGGCUAUGUUGGCCGGGCGACGGUUGUCCCGGUUUAAGCGUGUAGGUGUGUGUUCCAGGUAAAUCCGGUUCACUUUAACACUGAGGCGUGAUGACGAGGCACUACGGUGCUGAAGCAACAAAUGCCCUGCUUCCAGGAAAAGCCUCUAAGCAUCAGGUAACAUCAAAUCGUACCCCAAACCGACACAGGUGGUCAGGUAGAGAAUACCAAGGCGCUUGAGAGAACUCGGGUGAAGGAACUAGGCAAAAUGGUGCCGUAACUUCGGGAGAAGGCACGCUGACACGUAGGUGAAGUGAUUUACUCAUGGAGCUGAAGUCAGUCGAAGAUACCAGCUGGCUGCAACUGUUUAUUAAAAACACAGCACUGUGCAAACACGAAAGUGGACGUAUACGGUGUGACGCCUGCCCGGUGCCGGAAGGUUAAUUGAUGGGGUCAGCGCAAGCGAAGCUCCUGAUCGAAGCCCCGGUAAACGGCGGCCGUAACUAUAACGGUCCUAAGGUAGCGAAAUUCCUUGUCGGGUAAGUUCCGACCUGCACGAAUGGCGUAAUGAUGGCCAGGCUGUCUCCACCCGAGACUCAGUGAAAUUGAACUCGCUGUGAAGAUGCAGUGUACCCGCGGCAAGACGGAAAGACCCCGUGAACCUUUACUAUAGCUUGACACUGAACAUUGAGCCUUGAUGUGUAGGAUAGGUGGGAGGCUUUGAAGUGUGGACGCCAGUCUGCAUGGAGCCGACCUUGAAAUACCACCCUUUAAUGUUUGAUGUUCUAACGUGGACCCGUAAUCCGGGUUGCGGACAGUGUCUGGUGGGUAGUUUGACUGGGGCGGUCUCCUCCUAAAGAGUAACGGAGGAGCACGAAGGUUGGCUAAUCCUGGUCGGACAUCAGGAGGUUAGUGCAAUGGCAUAAGCCAGCUUGACUGCGAGCGUGACGGCGCGAGCAGGUGCGAAAGCAGGUCAUAGUGAUCCGGUGGUUCUGAAUGGAAGGGCCAUCGCUCAACGGAUAAAAGGUACUCCGGGGAUAACGGCUGAUACCGCCCAAGAGUUCAUAUCGACGGCGGUGUUUGGCACCUCGAUGUCGGCUCAUCACAUCCUGGGGCUGAAGUAGGUCCCAAGGGUAUGGCUGUUCGCCAUUUAAAGUGGUACGCGAGCUGGGUUUAGAACGUCGUGAGACAGUUCGGUCCCUAUCUGCCGUGGGCGCUGGAGAACUGAGGGGGGCUGCUCCUAGUACGAGAGGACCGGAGUGGACGCAUCACUGGUGUUCGGGUUGUCAUGCCAAUGGCACUGCCCGGUAGCUAAAUGCGGAAGAGAUAAGUGCUGAAAGCAUCUAAGCACGAAACUUGCCCCGAGAUGAGUUCUCCCUGAGACUUAGAGUCUCCUGAAGGAACGUUGAAGACGACGACGUUGAUAGGCCGGGUGUGUAAGCGCAGCGAUGCGUUGAGCUAACCGGUACUAAUGAACCGUGAGGCUUAACCUU